UAGCUAGUUGGUGGGGUAAGGGCCUACCAAGGCGACGAUCGGUAGCUGGUCUGAGAUGAUGACCAGCCACACUGGAACUGAGACACGGUCCAGACUCCUACGGGAGGCAGCAGUGGGGAAUAUUGGACAAUGGGGGCAACCCUGAUCCAGCAAUGCCGCGUGUGUGAAGAAGGCCUGAGGGUUGUAAAGCACUUUCAGUGGGGAGGAGUGUUGAUGGGUUAAGAGCUAAUUAACUGGACGUUACCCACAGAAGAAGCACCGGCUAACUCCGUGCCAGCAGCCGCGGUAAUACGGAGGGUGCGAGCGUUAAUCGGAAUUACUGGGCGUAAAGAGUGCGUAGGUGGUUGAAUAAGUUAUCUGUGAAAUCCCUGGGCUUAACCUGGGCAGGUCAGAUGAUACUGUUUAACUCGAGUAUGGGAGAGGGUAGUGGAAUUUCCGGUGUAGCGGUGAAAUGCGUAGAGAUCGGAAGGAACACCAGUGGCGAAGGCGGCUACCUGGCCUAAUACUGACACUGAGGCACGAAAGCGUGGGAAGCAAACAGGAUUAGAUACCCUGGUAGUCCACGCUGUAAACGAUGUCAACUAGCUGUUGGUUAUAUGAAAAUAAUUAGUGGCGC
RNAcentral lists this ribosomal RNA (616 nucleotides) under uncultured Legionella sp. RNAcentral's name for it is "bacterial SSU rRNA". It matches the Rfam family "Bacterial small subunit ribosomal RNA", at positions 242 to 849 of the family's 1533-position model. The record is from RNAcentral. Lineage: Bacteria; Pseudomonadati; Pseudomonadota; Gammaproteobacteria; Legionellales; Legionellaceae.